RNAcentral lists this ribosomal RNA (483 nucleotides) under uncultured bacterium. RNAcentral describes it as "bacterial SSU rRNA". It matches the Rfam family "Bacterial small subunit ribosomal RNA", at positions 28 to 507 of the family's 1533-position model. The record is from RNAcentral.
GACGAACGCUGGCGGCGUGCUUAACACGUGCAAGUCGAACGAUGAAGCCGAGCUUGCUCGGUGGAUUAGUGGCGAACGGGUGAGUAACACGUGAGCAACCUGCCCCUAACUCUGGGAUAACGCUUCGAAAGGAGUGCUAAUACCGGAUAUGAGCCUGGAAGACAUCCUCUGGGUUGGAAAGUUUUUCGGUUAGGGAUGGGCUCGCGGCCUAUCAGCUUGUUGGUGAGGUAAAGGCUCACCAAGGCGACGACGGGUAUCCGGCCUGAGAGGGCGACCGGACACACUGGGACUGAGACACGGCCCAGACUCCUACGGGAGGCAGCAGUGGGGAAUUUUGGACAAUGGGGGCAACCCUGAUCCAGCAAUGCCGCGUGAGUGAAGAAGGCCUUCGGGUUGUAAAGCUCUUUGUCAGGGAAGAAACACCGGCUCUAACACAGUCCGGGAAUGACGGUACCUGAAGAAUAAGCACCGGCUAACUACGUG